This 253-nucleotide ribosomal RNA is filed under the name uncultured bacterium. RNAcentral describes it as "partial 16S ribosomal RNA". It matches the Rfam family "Bacterial small subunit ribosomal RNA", at positions 524 to 776 of the family's 1533-position model. The record is from RNAcentral.
UACGAAGGGGGCUAGCGUUGCUCGGAAUCACUGGGCGUAAAGGGCGCGUAGGCGGCGUUUUAAGUCGGGGGUGAAAGCCUGUGGCUCAACCACAGAAUGGCCUUCGAUACUGGGACGCUUGAGUAUGGUAGAGGUUGGUGGAACUGCGAGUGUAGAGGUGAAAUUCGUAGAUAUUCGCAAGAACACCGGUGGCGAAGGCGGCCAACUGGACGAUUACUGACGCUGAGACUCGAAAGCGUGGGGAGCAAACAGG